This 71-nucleotide transfer RNA is filed under the name Capra hircus (goat). It matches the Rfam family "tRNA". From Rfam's summary of the family: Transfer RNA (tRNA) molecules are approximately 80 nucleotides in length. Their secondary structure includes four short double-helical elements and three loops (D, anti-codon, and T loops). The record is from Rfam by way of RNAcentral. Lineage: Eukaryota; Metazoa; Chordata; Mammalia; Artiodactyla; Bovidae. RNAcentral also lists the same sequence under 1 other name.
CCCUGGGUGGCUCAGAUGGUAAAGAAUCUGCCUGCAAUGCAGGAGACCCAGGUUUGAUCCCUGGUCAGGAA